This 497-nucleotide ribosomal RNA is filed under the name uncultured bacterium. RNAcentral's name for it is "partial 16S ribosomal RNA". It matches the Rfam family "Bacterial small subunit ribosomal RNA", at positions 28 to 507 of the family's 1533-position model. The record is from RNAcentral.
GAUGAACGCUGGCGGCGUGCCUAAUACAUGCAAGUCGAGCGAACAGACGAGGAGCUUGCUCCUCUGACGUUAGCGGCGGACGGGUGAGUAACACGUGGAUAACCUACCUAUAAGACUGGGAUAACUUCGGGAAACCGGAGCUAAUCCCGGAUAAUAUAUUGAACCGCAUGGUUCAAUAGUGAAAGACGGUUUUGCUGUCACUUAUAGAUGGAUCCGCGCCGCAUUAGCUAGUUGGUAAGGUAACGGCUUACCAAGGCAACGAUGCGUAGCCGACCUGAGAGGGUGAUCGGCCACACGGGAACUGAGACACGGUCCAGACUCCUACGGGAGGCAGCAGUAGGGAAUCUUCCGCAAUGGGCGAAAGCCUGACGGAGCAACGCCGCGUGAGUGAUGAAGGUCUUCGGAUCGUAAAACUCUGUUAUUAGGGAAGAACAAAUGUGUAAGUAACUAUGCACGUCUUGACGGUACCUAAUCAGAAAGCCACGGCUAACUACGUG